Molecule: ribosomal RNA, 448 nt
Filed under: uncultured bacterium
Lineage: Bacteria
Description: bacterial SSU rRNA
Rfam family: Bacterial small subunit ribosomal RNA
Source: RNAcentral
AGCCAGACUCCUACGGGAGGCAGCAGUGGGGGAUAUUGCACAAUGGGGGGAACCCUGAUGCAGCGACGCCGCGUGGGUGAAGGAGUGCUUCGGCAUGUAAAGCCCUCUCGGCAGGGAAGAAGCAAGACGGUACCUGACUAAGAAGCCCCGGCUAACUACGUGCCAGCAGCCGCGGUAAUACGUAGGUGGCAAGCGUUGUCCGGAUUUACUGGGUGUAAAGGGCGUGUAGCCGGGAAGGCAAGUCAGAUGUGAAAUCUGGAGGCUCAACCUCCAAAUUGCAUUUGAAACUGUUUUUCUUGAGUACUGGAGAGGCAGACGGAAUUCCUUGUGUAGCGGUGAAAUGCGUAGAUAUAAGGAGGAACACCAGUGGCGAAGGCGGUCUGCUGGACAGCAACUGACGGUGAGGCGCGAAAGCGUGGGGAGCAAACAGGAUUAGAUACCCGCGUAG